RNAcentral lists this ribosomal RNA (739 nucleotides) under uncultured fungus. RNAcentral describes it as "eukaryotic LSU rRNA". The stretch from base 194 to 347 matches the Rfam family "5.8S ribosomal RNA". The record is from RNAcentral. Lineage: Eukaryota; Fungi.
UAUCGUAACAACGGAGGUGCGAGGGCUGUCGCUGACCUUUCGGUGGUCGUGCACGCCCAAGCGCUUUCACACAAUCCAUCUCACCCCCUUUGUGCAUCACCGCGUGGGUCCCCUUUGCGGGAGGGCUCGCGUUUUCACAUAAAAACAUUUUGAUAGUGUAGAAUGUCCUUUUGCGGUCACACGCAAUCAAUACAACUUUCAACAACGGAUCUCUUGGCUCUCGCAUCGAUGAAGAACGUAGCGAAAUGCGAUACGUAAUGUGAAUUGCAGAAUUCAGUGAAUCAUCGAAUCUUUGAACGCACCUUGCGCCCCUUGGCAUUCCGAGGGGCACACCCGUUUGAGUGUCGUGAAAUCUUCAAAAACCCCGUUUUCUCAUAAGGAAAGGGAUUUUUGGACUUGGAGGAUCAAUGCUUGCCUUCACUUUUGAAAGUGAGCUCCUCUCAAAUAGAUUAGUGGGGUCCGCUUUGCCGAUCCUUGACGUGAUAAGAUGCUUCUACGUUUUGGAUUUAGCAUUGUCGCUCGGAUGCCUGCUCCUAACUGUCCCAUGGACAAUGAUGGUGCUCCGGUCACCGCCGUCUACAUCGGCCGGGAGGCUGGACCCACAAAACAAACCUUGACCUCAAAUCGGGUGAGACUACCCGCUGAACUUAAGCAUAUCAAUAAGCGGAGGAAAAGAAACUAACAAGGAUUCCCCUAGUAACUGCGAGUGAAGCGGGAAAAGCUCAAAUUUAAAAUCUGA